UCUGUUUUAAUAAAUCUAUCUAGGUUUCGAUCUUAUUUUUAAUCGAUCUUAAUACCGUAUUUUUGGUUUAGAAAUCCCGAUCGAUUCAAAUUACUUUUUUUUAAAUCGGUUUUAAUUCGGCAUGUGUAGCGACUGUUGCGCGUCCCUAGCGGCCUCGAACAGAAUCUUCCAAGUCAUGUAUCGAUGCGAUUCAAAGAUCGGAACUGCUAUCGAAGAUAUCGAAAAAUCAAGCUGUAUAGACGUAAAACAAAAAUGAGGAAAAUUAAAAGGAAAUGCAAAUUUGAUGUAUGAAGUUACACCAAUAAAGAAAUUUUGUCAUGAUAUUCAA
This is a long non-coding RNA of Solenopsis invicta (red fire ant), 328 nucleotides long. RefSeq lists it as uncharacterized. The transcript is spliced from 2 exons. The record is from RefSeq and is a predicted model, not a curated record. NCBI's taxonomy places the organism in Eukaryota, Metazoa, Arthropoda, Insecta, Hymenoptera, Formicidae.